RNAcentral lists this ribosomal RNA (428 nucleotides) under uncultured bacterium. RNAcentral's name for it is "partial 16S ribosomal RNA". It matches the Rfam family "Bacterial small subunit ribosomal RNA", at positions 354 to 796 of the family's 1533-position model. The record is from RNAcentral.
GUAGGGAAUAUUGCGCAAUGGACGAAAGUCUGACGCAGCGACGCCGCGUGAGUGAUGAAGGCCUUAGGGUCGUAAAGCUCUGCUGAAUGGGAAGAAAAAAAUGACGGUACCAUUCGAGGAAGGACCGGCUAACUUCGUGCCAGCAGCCGCGGUAAUACGAGGGGUCGUAGCGUUGUUCGGAAUCAUUGGGCGUAAAGGGUGUGUAGGUGGCCAUGUAAGUCAGGUGUGAAAGCCCCGGGCUCAACCCGGGAACUGCACUUGAUACUGCGUAGCUUGAGUACCGAAGAGGAUAGUGGAGUUCCAGGUGUAGUGGUGAACUACGUAGAUAUGUGGAGGAACACCGGUGGCGAAGGCGGCUACCUAGUCGAGUACUGACACUGAGACACGAAAGCAUGGGGAUCAAACAGGAUUAGAUACCCCAGUAGUCC